RNAcentral lists this long non-coding RNA (3397 nucleotides) under Setaria italica (foxtail millet). Its description in RNAcentral is "long non-coding RNA (SITA_LNC002363)". The record is from RNAcentral. Lineage: Eukaryota; Viridiplantae; Streptophyta; Magnoliopsida; Poales; Poaceae.
UCCGGUGAGGUGAGCAGAAGAACCUCUCACAAGAAUAGCCCGGGCUCCUUCACAAUCUUCUUGAAGGGCUCAACGACUCUAUAGCCUCAAAGCCGUCUAGGAGGUGGCAACCUCCAAGAGUAACAAGCCAAUGACGCUUGCUUGAAGACUCCCUAGUGCCACAAAGCUCAACUCUUGAUGAAAUGCGCUAGGAUGCUCUCAAUCUCACAAGAAUGCAAACUCUAAGCAAAGUGAGUGAGAGAGAGGAAGAAGAAGGCCCAAGUAUGUCAUGGAAGCUUUCCAAAUUGCCAAGAGAGCUCUCCCACGACCAGGCAUGAGCUAUUUAUAGAGCCAUCCUCCAAAACUAGCUGUUAUAUUCAAAACGCAUGAAAACAGAGGAUUGAUGGAACGUCCGCGGUUCAUAUUUUCAUCCAUGCAGGGAGAAGUUAGACAUGUCCAAAACAUGUCAAUCCCCAUGAUAUUUACGGCGGACAUGUCGCGGACCGUCCACCUCUCAUUUUCGCCAAACAUUCAGAACCAAACUGGUUCUAUCCAACUCUUCAAAUUAGCCAGCGGACCGUCCGCCGUUCACAUCGAAGCACCUCUCAGAACCAAGAAUAGUUCUAUCUAAAUUGUAGAUCAUGUGGCGGACUGUCUGCCACCCACGGCUGGACUGUCCUCCCUAACUUAAUGCCCCACCAGAACCAAAACUUGUCAUGUCUAAAAACCAAACCAAGUGGCGGACGCCCCUUAGGGCCAGACCAUCCGCCCUUUAACUUUUCAACGCAUCAGAACAAAUUCAAAGUUUGGCUAAGUCAAAUAACGGUCCGCUUGCAAGGGAGACCGUUCGCCAUACACAGCGUGCUAGCCAUUUUCAAAAUAUAUUUUUACCAGCGUAUUUCCCACUUUCCAAACAAGAUAGACCUAUAUGCAUGCAAUGCAAUUGUUUGAGAAAAGUGGCACUAUAGAACCAUCAAGCAAAUGAAAUUGACCCCUCUUGAUAGUACAGCUAUCUAGACUAUUAACCCGGUCAAUUAUCAUCCACUAAGCACCUCUUGACUGGUAAAAUAGGAAAGCCCUACCAUAUACCUUUGCCUUGAGCUUUCCAAUGCAAAUUCAUCCAAGCUAUCACCGUAGCAUCCUUUGAAGCUCAAUUCAUCUCCGGAACUAACCUAUACUCAUAUCUCCAUGAAAUUGUUAGUCCAUGAAUAUUAUCAUUAAUUACCAAAACCUAAUUAGGGGCCUAGAUGCUUUCAGCUAGACCCUUGUGGUGACUUCAUCAGCAUCGAAAUCUGUCGGCUAUUCUCUUGGGGGUGAUCUAGGGAUACAAUUGCACGUGUGUAUUCAUAGAGGUAAGUGUGCAUACAUAAUCUGUGAGGAAAUUAACAAAUUAAAUAGGCCCCAAGUCUUGUAUAUUGUGCCUAGAAUAUUUAGUUACCCUAUUUUUGUUUCUAGCUAGUAGAUCCUAUAAUUCAUCUUUGUGAUCUAUAUGACAUUUUCUUGCACCUUUAUUGUAUUUAUAUGUCUUUCCAUGGCUGUACAACUGGUUUUUGCUAUUAGUAGAAUAAAGCAGUUAUAAUGGUGGUAACACGAGGAGCAUGACCAAAUAUUAGUUAAGGGUCUGAGUUGUGUGGGUGAUAGCUGAGCAACUUGCAUUGUCUUGCGGCUUAGUCAUUGAUGUGCUGCCACUAUAGCACAACACCAGAUUAGUGACAUACGUCAGUUGGUAACAGUCUACUAUUACCAUUGAGAGGUCAAUCGGUAAAACUCUCCAACGCACGGUCAUUCGGUGAUCCUUGUUUUGUAGAGUAACUGUCAGUCGGCAAAGAUAUCUGAGUUUAUCGAGUAGCAGUCUGUCGGCAAUUGUAUUUGCUACAUCCAACCGUCAGUCGGUAAAUAGGGCCUACAAAUGGAAUCAUAUCGUACUCUAUAUUGAUUAAAAGUGAUAAACAACAAACUUUACCUUUCUUGCAUCAAACUUUAAUGUAACAUUGAUUUAUUAUGUUUGUUUAUGAAAGUAAUCUCAUUAUAUUUUUAAUAAAUAAUAUACCUUUUAUAAUUUAAAUGUACUCAUGCCUAUUUAUUAGAAUUACUUUGCAUUUAAGCUACAUAUGUUGUAAAAAUGAUCUUUAAAUAAAAAAAUAAAUAUCUAUGCCGGUGCAUUCAUAUAUUUAGAUAGCACUUGCAAAUUUGGAAGAAAAAAAUUCAACGCCUGAUUCAUGGUUUAGCACUUAAUGCUUCAUAACGAAGAGCACAAUGGUCAACGAGGUAGAUGACAUCCACAGUUUCAAACUAACUAAUGCAUGGCUCUAACAAGAGGACUUGAAUGUUUAAUUCUGUUUUUCUACGAUGGAGUACAACUAACUCACACCUUAUUUUCUAGAAGAAAGAAAAGAAUACUUAUAUUUAUCACUAGGAUAGUCCAACAAUUCUGUGUCUCUGCUGUGCCCUCGCUUGUUCAAACCCCAACUCAUUCCUUGACUUACACCUCUACAAAAGCAUCAUUCCUACUUGUUCAAACGGUACCUUGACACUUCUAACUCCUACCACCAGUGUCAUGGUGCAGUGGAUGCACUUCUACAAAUCUAGCGACCGACAGUGCAAUCUGUGGCUAAUGACUUGACUGAACAGUUAUCAAAAUUUGUCCAUCCUCUCCUCCGGAAGAAGGCCUAGCUAGUUUUUGACAAAGCCAAAUCUGCUGAAACCAGCAUAUAGUCGCCAUAUUGAUCGAUCCUAAGAACACGGCCCAAGAACGAAGAGUGUACAAAUACAACACCUAGUCAUUAAUUUUAUCCCCAAGUAAAUUAACUCCAUCCAAGUAAGAAAUCAACAGUUCAAGUUCCAAGUUACUUGAAGUACAUUUAUACACGUGCUCACUGCUCAAUCAACGACCUCAUCGCCUACCCAUGCACGCACACGCAUGUAGAGAGGACGUCUACUUGAAGUAGUAUGGGAGGUCGAGCACGUAGAGGAGGAAGUAGGCCCAGACCACGCCGGAGAUGCCGCCGAAGAAGAAGCCUCCGGUGAACUUGGCCCAGCCGUCGGCGGUCUGCAGCUUGUCGGCCUCCUUCUUGCGGCCGGUGAGCGUGAGCGUGGGCGCCGUGGACGGGUCGCCCUCGUUGAAGGAGGCGACGCCGUACAUGGUGAGGCAGACGCUGAGGAUGGUGACGAGCCCGGCGGCGCCCAGGGCGCCCGCCUGGCCGUGCACGGGCGUGUUGCGGAGCGGGCCGGUGAGGGCGAAGGGGCCCACGAGGAGGUAGCCGUGCGCAAGCCCGACCUCGAUGCCGCGGAGCAGCGGGCUCACGGCGGUGCGGUAGGCCGGGAGGUUGGAGAGGUACCAGGCGAUGAGCGGGCUGGAGGUGAUGGGCGUCUCCAGGCUGCCGAUGAAGGGGUCGCCGUUGAUGGGCUGCACCACCUG